UACGAGUGCUUCGAGCGUUAUCCGGAAUCAUUGGGCGUAAAGGGUGUGUAGGCGGUUAUGUUAGUCUCGCGUUAAAUUCUCCGGCUCAACCGGGGAGCUGCGUGGGAAACGGCAUGACUUGAGGACGGUAGGGGUCUCUGGAACUCUAGGUGUAGCGGUGAAAUGCGUUGAUAUCUAGGGGAACACCGAAAGCGAAGGCAAGAGACUGGACCGCUCCUGACGCUGAAACACGAAAGCGUGGGUCGCGAAUGGG
RNAcentral lists this ribosomal RNA (253 nucleotides) under uncultured bacterium. RNAcentral's name for it is "partial 16S ribosomal RNA". It matches the Rfam family "Bacterial small subunit ribosomal RNA", at positions 524 to 776 of the family's 1533-position model. The record is from RNAcentral.